AAGAUCAGCACUCACAUACAUUCUUGAGGUUACAGAUUUUUUUUUUUUAAAUGCCACGAACUAAUAUAGAAAAAGAAUUUCUAAAACUCAAAAAUACACAAAAGAAUCAAAUUACCAAAAAUAAAAGAUUUGAACGAAUCCCAUUAACCGAUAAUCCGCGUGCACCACAUACAACCAACAAACACAAUAUGUGCACUUAAAUACCAAAA
Molecule: unclassified non-coding RNA, 209 nt
Filed under: Hevea brasiliensis (rubber tree)
Lineage: Eukaryota; Viridiplantae; Streptophyta; Magnoliopsida; Malpighiales; Euphorbiaceae
Source: RNAcentral